This 286-nucleotide long non-coding RNA is filed under the name Sorghum bicolor (sorghum). Its description in RNAcentral is "long non-coding RNA (SBIC_LNC018193)". The record is from RNAcentral. Lineage: Eukaryota; Viridiplantae; Streptophyta; Magnoliopsida; Poales; Poaceae.
CCUCAACCACCUUUGGCUUGGGGGCCUCCUUUGGGGCUUCUUUCUUGACAUCCUUUGCCUUAGGCUCCUUAGGAGGAGCGGCCUUUUUCUGAACAGGAGGUACAGACUCUGCCUGCUUGACCUCACCAAUGACCUUCUUGAAGUUAGGCUGGUUAACCAUGGUCCAGAAAUACCUCUCGACAUGAGGGAAAUCAGAAGUGAAGCUCUUGGUCAAGAUCCGUGCAAUUCCAUGGUAGAGGUUGCAUGUCAAUACAAUGUCAGCUAGAGUAACAGAAUGCCCAACAAG